GAUGAACGCUAGCUACAGGCUUAACACAUGCAAGUCGCGGGGCAGCAUGGGGGUUGCUUGCAAUCCCCGAUGGCGACCGGCGCACGGGUGAGUAACGCGUAUCCAACCUGCCCUUCACCACGGGAUAACCCGGCGAAAGUCGGACUAAUACCGUAUGUUGUUCAUUGACGGCAUCCGAUUUGGACGAAAGGCUUGGCGGUGAGGGAUGGGGAUGCGUCCGAUUAGCCAGACGGCGGGGUAACGGCCCACCGUGGCUACGAUCGGUAGGGGUUCUGAGAGGAAGGUCCCCCACACUGGAACUGAGACACGGUCCAGACUCCUACGGGAGGCAGCAGUGAGGAAUAUUGGUCAAUGGGCGUAAGCCUGAACCAGCCAAGUAGCGUGCAGGAUGACGGCCCUAUGGGUUGUAAACUGCUUUUAUGCGGGGAUAAAGUGGCCCACGUGUGGGCUUUUGCAGGUACCGCAUGAAUAAGGACCGGCUAAUUCCGUG
RNAcentral lists this ribosomal RNA (490 nucleotides) under uncultured bacterium. Its description in RNAcentral is "partial 16S ribosomal RNA". It matches the Rfam family "Bacterial small subunit ribosomal RNA", at positions 28 to 507 of the family's 1533-position model. The record is from RNAcentral.